RNAcentral lists this ribosomal RNA (253 nucleotides) under uncultured bacterium. Its description in RNAcentral is "partial 16S ribosomal RNA". It matches the Rfam family "Bacterial small subunit ribosomal RNA", at positions 524 to 776 of the family's 1533-position model. The record is from RNAcentral.
GACGUAGGGGGCCAGCGUUGUUCGGAAUUACUGGGUGUAAAGGGUUCGUAGGCGGUGCGGCAAGUCGGGAGUGAAAUCUCUGGGCUUAACCCAGAGGCUGCUUCCGAAACUGCUGUGCUUGAGUGUGGGAGAGGCGCGUGGAAUUGCAGGUGUAGCGGUGAAAUGCGUAGAUAUCUGCAGGAACACCCGUGGCGAAAGCGGCGCGCUGGACCACUACUGACGCUGAGACUCGAAAGCGUGGGGAGCAAACAGG